AAGAAGGCCUUCGGGUUGUAAAGCUCUUUCGGCAGGAACGAAACGGCGAGCUCUAACAUAGCUCGCUAAUGACGGUACCUGAAGAAGAAGCACCGGCUAACUACGUGCCAGCAGCCGCGGUAAUACGUAGGGUGCGAGCGUUAAUCGGAAUUACUGGGCGUAAAGCGUGCGCAGGCGGUUGUGUAAGACAGGUGUGAAAUCCCCGGGCUUAACCUGGGAACUGCGCUUGUAAAACGACGGCCAGAGUAUGGCAGAGGGGGGUGGAAUUCCACGUGUAGCAGUGAAAUGCGUAGAGAUGUGGAGGAACACCGAUGGCGAAGGCAGCCCCCUGGGCCAAUACUGACGCUCAUGCACGAAAGCGUGGGGAGCAAACAGGAUUAGAUACCCUGGUAGUCCACGCCCUAAACGAUGUCGAACUAGGUGUUCGGUGAGGAGACUCAUUGAGUACCGCAGCUAACGCGUGAAGUCGACCGCCUGGGGGAGUACGGUCGCAAGAUUAAAACUCAAAGGAAUUGACGGGGACCCGCACAAGCGGUGGAUGAUGUGGAUUAAUUCGAUGCAACGCGAAAAACCUUACCUACCCUUGACAUGUACGGAACCCUGCUGAGAGGUGGGGGUGCUCGAAAGAGAGCCGUAACACAGGUGCUGCAUGGCUGUCGUCAGCUCGUGUCGUGAGAUGUUGGGUUAAGUCCCGCAACGAGCGCAACCCUUGUCAUUAAUUGCCAUCAUUUAGUUGGGCACUUUAAUGAGACUGCCGGUGACAAACCGGAGGAAGGUGGGGAUGACGUCAAGUCCUCAUGGCCCUUAUGGGUAGGGCUUCACACGUCAUACAAUGGUCGGUACAGAGGGUUGCCAAGCCGCGAGGUGGAGCCAAUCCCAGAGAGCCGAUCGUAGUCCGGAUCGCAGUCUGCAACUCGACUGCGUGAAGUCGGAAUCGCUAGUAAUCGCGGAUCAGCAUGUCGCGGUGAAUACGUUCCCGGGUCUUGUACACACCGCCCGUCACACCAUGGGAGUGGGUUCUACCAGAAGUAGUUAGCCUAACCGUAAGGAGGGCGAUUACCACGGUAGGAUUCAUGACUGGGGUGAAGUCGUAACAAGGUAACCAAGCU
Molecule: ribosomal RNA, 1109 nt
Filed under: uncultured bacterium
Lineage: Bacteria
Description: bacterial SSU rRNA
Rfam family: Bacterial small subunit ribosomal RNA
Source: RNAcentral